RNAcentral lists this ribosomal RNA (400 nucleotides) under uncultured bacterium. Its description in RNAcentral is "partial 16S ribosomal RNA". It matches the Rfam family "Bacterial small subunit ribosomal RNA", at positions 355 to 770 of the family's 1533-position model. The record is from RNAcentral.
UCAAGAAUCUUGGACAAUGGGCGAAAGCCUGAUCCAGCGACGCCGCGUGACCGAAGAAACUCUUCGGAGUGUAAAGGUCUUUUCUGGGGGACGAAACAAUGACGGUACUCCAGGAAUAAGGGGCUGCUAAACUCGUGCCAGCAGCAGCGGUAAUACGAGUGCCCCAAGCGUUAUCCGGAUUUAUUGGGCGUAAAGCGUCUGUAGGCGGUUUGGUAAGUUACAGGUCAAAUCUUCCGACUCAAUCGGAAAACUGCUUGUAAUACUGCUAAACUUGAGACUGGGAGAGGCAGAUGGAAUUGCCGGUGUAACGGUAAAAUGUGUUAAUAUCGGCAAGAACACCAAAUGCGAAAGCAUUCUGCUGGAACAGUUCUGACGCUGAGCGACGAAAGCGUGGGGAGCG